UCUAGCAACCUUUCGGUUACUGAACCAACUCUCUAACCGCUAGGCUACCUUCCUCCCCUGGAAGAGGAUAAGGAGCCAUGCAAACAGGCUUGUUCAAAGACUGACAUUGAUGUCUCAACGACCUACACUGUGCACAGCCUUCUCUCAGUUAUUAAGCAAACUGAUCCAUACAUGCUUGACAUCGACCUUGAUUUUUCCUCUUGCAAGAAUCCCUUCAAGGAGAUGUCUACACAGGAAGAGUUGACAGAGUGUGUAAAGAGACAUAGCCUGCAGCUGGAGGAUCUGGAGACAGCAUUUGAAGACCUGGUGGAGGAUGAUAGUAAGGAGAUUGUCAGGUGCUGGCCUGCCAACCCUGGAUAGGGUGCACUAGGCGGGGCUGACCUGUGACUACUCGCGGGGCUGAACGGUGAGCUACCCCACCACAUUAGCAGUGAGGAGAAGAUUGAGAGGCUGGUCCUGGCAGUGGAGCUCAUUCUGGAGGCGCCGAUCCAGCCCACCCUUAUCACCGUCUCCAAGAAUGUCAGUGCCAGUUGUGUAACAAUAUGUACCUCUUAAGUUGUUUUUGGGGGUAUCUGUACUUUACUAUUUAUAUUUUCAACAAGUUUCAACAGUUUGUUCUAGCUCAAGAGACCAUGUGCUCUGCUAUUAUUAAGGGGGUAUGUGAGGGUAUUGUGGCUUUUGUGAAAGAAAAUGGCUAAAAGCAUAGGCCUACCCUUUGCUAGCUUAAGAUUAAAAUCAAAAUUAUGGACCUGAUUAUAUAAAGCGAUCUAUAACAACGCUUUAGUCCACAAUGUUUAUGCAAGUUUGCAAUCUGUAAAAUGCAGGAGAAAGAUGUGACUCUGGGAUGUCUCUGGGUUGACUCUAUGACAUUCAGAGGCUGCGCAACCUUCUAUAACCAAAGAGACAAAACAUUUACUUUGCUUGGGAGGUCAUGUGUGAUUCUGUCAAUAUCAAUUGACGUUAGACAUUUCAACAGGCUAUUUAACAACAUACUAACUCUACAUCAGUCAGAAACAAGCCAGGUAGCCUAAGAAGGAACGAAAAUUAAUUAUUUAGGCUAUAUUAUUAUUUCAAGGCUAUAGCCUGCCACUUAAGAAAUCAAUUGUGAAGCAUUGGUGACACGCUGGCAUGAGCGCUCAGCAACACAUCAACA
Oncorhynchus keta (chum salmon) is the source of this 1153-nucleotide long non-coding RNA. RefSeq lists it as uncharacterized. The transcript is spliced from 3 exons. Lineage: Eukaryota; Metazoa; Chordata; Actinopteri; Salmoniformes; Salmonidae. The record is from RefSeq and is a predicted model, not a curated record.